AUGCUUAGCUAGCAGGGGAAAUGCCGUGAUCAUGAAGGUGGUUCUUUUCAAUAUGAGGUUUAACCCUUGCACUCCAGAUGUGCUACCCGAGAUUUUCCCCCAAAUGAGGGAAACUCAACUCUAUAAUUUGCGGUAAUGGGGGCUGUGUUUGCUCUCUCCCAUG
Molecule: small nuclear RNA, 163 nt
Organism: Suncus etruscus (white-toothed pygmy shrew)
Lineage: Eukaryota; Metazoa; Chordata; Mammalia; Eulipotyphla; Soricidae
Product: U1 spliceosomal RNA
Exons: 1
Source: RefSeq, a predicted model, not a curated record